CUUAAAUUGAAGAGUUUGAUCAUGGCUCAGAUUGAACGCUGGCGGCAGGCCUAACACAUGCAAGUCGAGCGGAAACGAGUUGUCUGAACC
RNAcentral lists this ribosomal RNA (90 nucleotides) under Vibrio parahaemolyticus. RNAcentral's name for it is "partial 16S ribosomal RNA". It matches the Rfam family "Bacterial small subunit ribosomal RNA", at positions 1 to 86 of the family's 1533-position model. The record is from RNAcentral. Lineage: Bacteria; Pseudomonadati; Pseudomonadota; Gammaproteobacteria; Vibrionales; Vibrionaceae.